UUACAAAAUAUUGAGAACCCAUAAUUCAAGACAUCAUGCCAUAUGCAAAAUAUAUUAUGUGUUAAGUUAUGCAUUAAAGUAUUAAGAGCAAGCAUGUCAAUGAUCAAAAUCAAUUCUUUUCAAAUAAACUCCUCCUAUUUAAAUAUAAUCUUGCACUGAUUUCAUCCUUAAAGUGUGUUUUCAAGUGAUUAAAAAUUUGACUUGAUUCUUCUUAUAUACUUUCAUUUUUACCUUCUUAUGCUCUAUACUCUAUUUGCUCCCUAUCCGGUGGAGUUGGAAGGGGCACGAGGUACUACCACUAGCCUCCCUCCUGUGCCG
Molecule: long non-coding RNA, 318 nt
Filed under: Phoenix dactylifera (date palm)
Lineage: Eukaryota; Viridiplantae; Streptophyta; Magnoliopsida; Arecales; Arecaceae
Description: long non-coding RNA (PDAC_LNC016866)
Source: RNAcentral